Molecule: ribosomal RNA, 519 nt
Filed under: Triticum aestivum (bread wheat)
Lineage: Eukaryota; Viridiplantae; Streptophyta; Magnoliopsida; Poales; Poaceae
Description: partial small subunit ribosomal RNA
Source: RNAcentral
AUGCAUGAUGCAGAGCGAAUGACAGGCGCACGAGAUGUGGGGAGUCAUGUGCGUGCGUGGGUUGAUUCCCACGCGCCUUCAAUGGAGUGGGGAGGGCGGUCGACGGCCCCUCUUUCUGUCACUUCAAUGGGCCGGAUUGGCCGAGAGGGGGUGGCCGAGGCUCGCCCCCGCCUCUUUAUAAAGAGGGGAGCGGGAGGAACGGUGCCUCUCAAUCCUUCGCCAUUUGCCUCUCCCCAUUCCCGCUUCCUCCUUUCUUCUGCCAUGGCAAGGGGGCAUGGCGACACUUCAUCGGUGCCGGCAAGGGUCUCGGCUCGACAACGCAUCGCCCCUCUCCAAGAGCUCGUAGUGGCAGAGCUGGCCGUGAGUGGGAGGAGGAGGGGGCGAGGUCGAGGCGGUCAUGGCGCUCGGGGGAGAGGAGGACGGGGCGGCAGACCGGCCUCGCCUCCACCAGCGGCCGCUCCUCCGAUGGAGGGCCACGUUAGGCACAACCCUUGCGAGUUCUUCGUCAGGCUACGCUAG